GGGGGCAGAGCUCAGUGGUAGAGUGUGUGCUUAGCAUGCACGAGGUCCUAUGUUCAAUCCCCAGCACCUCCA
RNAcentral lists this transfer RNA (72 nucleotides) under Camelus bactrianus (Bactrian camel). It matches the Rfam family "tRNA". From Rfam's summary of the family: Transfer RNA (tRNA) molecules are approximately 80 nucleotides in length. Their secondary structure includes four short double-helical elements and three loops (D, anti-codon, and T loops). Further hydrogen bonds mediate the characteristic L-shaped molecular structure. tRNAs have two regions of fundamental functional importance: the anti-codon, which is responsible for specific mRNA codon recognition, and the 3' end, to which the tRNAs corresponding amino acid is attached (by aminoacyl-tRNA synthetases). tRNAs cope with the degeneracy of the genetic code in two manners: having more than one tRNA (with a specific anti-codon) for a particular amino acid; and 'wobble' base-pairing, i.e. permitting non-standard base-pairing at the 3rd anti-codon position. The record is from Rfam by way of RNAcentral. RNAcentral also lists the same sequence under 2 other names. Lineage: Eukaryota; Metazoa; Chordata; Mammalia; Artiodactyla; Camelidae.